GAUGAAGAACGUAGCGAAAUGCGAUAAGUAGUGUGAAUUGCAGAAUUCAGUGAAUCAUCGAGUUUUUGAACGCAUAUUGCGCCCUCUGGUAUUCCGGGGGGCAUGCCUGUUCGAGCGUCAUUAAAUAACCCUCAAGCAUAGCUUGGUGUUGGGCUUUUUUACGUCCUUGACUGGGAUGGGCCUAAAAAUUAGUGGCGAUGGCUUUUUUACUUUCAAGCGUAGUAAAUCUCGUCUUGCUAAAGAGGAAAAAGAUUUUUUUUCUGCCAAAAAUUUUAACAUUUAAAGUUGACCUCGGAUCAGGUAGGAUUACCCGCUGAACUUAAGCAUAUCAAUAAGCGGAGGA
This 343-nucleotide unclassified non-coding RNA is filed under the name soil metagenome. RNAcentral describes it as "partial contains 5.8S ribosomal RNA, internal transcribed spacer 2, and large subunit ribosomal RNA". The stretch from base 1 to 120 matches the Rfam family "5.8S ribosomal RNA", at positions 35 to 154 of the family's 154-position model. The record is from RNAcentral.